GCUGGCGGCGUGCCUAAUACAUGCAAGUCGAGCGAACAGAUAAGGAGCUUGCUCCUUUGACGUUAGCGGCGGACGGGUGAGUAACACGUGGGUAACCUACCUAUAAGACUGGAAUAACUCCGGGAAACCGGGGCUAAUGCUGGAUAAUAUUUAGAACCGCAUGGUUCUAAAGUGAAAGAUGGUUUUGCUAUCACUUAUAGAUGGACCCGCGCCGUAUUAGCUAGUUGGUGGGGUAAUNGCUUACCAAGGCAACGAUACGUAGCCGACCUGAGAGGNNNAUNGGCCACACUGGAACUGAGACACGGUCCAGACUCCUACGGGAGGCAGCAGUAGGGAAUCUUCCGCAAUGGGCGAAAGCCUGACGGAGCAACGCCGCGUGAGUGAUGAAGGUCUUCGGAUCGUAAAACUCUGUUAUUAGGGAAGAACAAAUGUGUAAGUAACUG
This 443-nucleotide ribosomal RNA is filed under the name Staphylococcus nepalensis. Its description in RNAcentral is "bacterial SSU rRNA". It matches the Rfam family "Bacterial small subunit ribosomal RNA", at positions 35 to 467 of the family's 1533-position model. Lineage: Bacteria; Bacillati; Bacillota; Bacilli; Caryophanales; Staphylococcaceae. The record is from RNAcentral.